This 333-nucleotide ribosomal RNA is filed under the name Montipora sp. MBM-2017. RNAcentral's name for it is "partial small subunit ribosomal RNA". It matches the Rfam family "Eukaryotic small subunit ribosomal RNA", at positions 111 to 371 of the family's 1831-position model. The record is from RNAcentral. Lineage: Eukaryota; Metazoa; Cnidaria; Anthozoa; Scleractinia; Acroporidae.
GAUCGUUUAUUUGAUGGAUGGUGUUACUGCCGGAUGGAUAACCGUAGUAAUUCUAGAGCUAAUACAUGCGACUGGAGUCCCGACUGUGAAUUCACGUUCUCAGAAAGGAUGUAUUUAUUAGAUUCAAAACCGGACCGGCCAGCCCCUGCGCCUCUGGCCCUUUUACCGGGGUCCAGCUGGACGGGUGGUAGGCCGUGAUUCCAAGGUGAUUCACGAUAACUGAACGAAUCGACGUCUUUAACGGACGGUCGAUGCUUCAUUCAAAUCUCUGCCCUAUCAACUGUCGACGGUAAGGUAGUGGCUUACCGUGGUGACGACGGGUAACGGAGGAUC